CAGCAGCCACGGUAAUACGUAGGGUGCAAGCGUUAAUCGGAAUUACUGGGCGUAAAGCGUGCGCAGGCGGUGUUGUAAGACUGAUGUGAAAUCCCCGGGCUCAACCUGGGAACUGCAUUGGUGACUGCAACGCUGGAGUGCGGCAGAGGGGGAUGGAAUUCCGCGUGUAGCAGUGAAAUGCGUAGAUAUGCGGAGGAACACCGAUGGCGAAGGCAAUCCCCUGGGCCUGCACUGACGCUCAUGCACGAAAGCGUGGGGAGCAAACAGGAUUAGAUACCCCCGUAGUCCCUGUCUCUUAUAA
RNAcentral lists this ribosomal RNA (301 nucleotides) under uncultured bacterium. RNAcentral's name for it is "partial 16S ribosomal RNA". It matches the Rfam family "Bacterial small subunit ribosomal RNA", at positions 509 to 809 of the family's 1533-position model. The record is from RNAcentral.